RNAcentral lists this transfer RNA (68 nucleotides) under Phyllobates terribilis. RNAcentral describes it as "tRNA-Ala". The record is from RNAcentral. Lineage: Eukaryota; Metazoa; Chordata; Amphibia; Anura; Dendrobatidae.
AAGACUUUAUCUUAAUAAAAGUAUUUGAGUUGCAUUCAGAAGAUGAAAGUAGUAUCUUUCAAGUCUUA